UCGCUCCAUAAGACGCACUUUUCCCCUCCUAAAAAGUAAGGGGGGUUGUGUGCGUCUUAUGGAGCGAA
Molecule: non-coding RNA, 68 nt
Organism: Podarcis lilfordi (Lilford's wall lizard)
Lineage: Eukaryota; Metazoa; Chordata; Lepidosauria; Squamata; Lacertidae
Source: the annotation of a GenBank genome assembly